Molecule: non-coding RNA, 1290 nt
Organism: Pimephales promelas (fathead minnow)
Lineage: Eukaryota; Metazoa; Chordata; Actinopteri; Cypriniformes; Leuciscidae
Source: RefSeq, a predicted model, not a curated record
GGAAGGAUGUGAUGCUGUCAGUCAAUGGUCAUGUGGCAACGCCGCCAUGCUGCUGUACCAGAAGUUAAGUUUGACAGCCCUAGUUUAAAUUGAUUACUGAGUCUGUGCAGCAUAACAUGGUUAUCAUCUAACAAGUUAACUUUGUGAGAUUUGCCUUAACUAACUACGAAUUACAAUUAUUUUCACAGAGCCAUUAUGUCCAUAAGGAGGAGGAGGAAAAAGCCUAUAGAUGAUGCAAAGACGUACAUUCUGUCUUGCACUGACAAGGAUGGGUUUAUGCCGAGAUUCAUUGACCAUUACAAAGGAAGAGGAGUGUUUGCCACACAACCCAUUGAACCCGGGGACUUCGUGUUGGAGUACAGGGGUAAACUCCUCACACAGGAGGAAAGCAAGUCAAGAAAAUACUCAGAGAUUGAAAGCACAUUUUUCUUUGACUUUCAGUGGCAGAAUCAUCACUUAUGGUAAACAUUGAAAGAUGGAUGUCUUUUUAUUGAUUUAUAGAAAUUACGAGUUAACUCUGAAACAAGGGUUUAAUACUUGAUGAAUGAAUUAAGCACAAAUACUCUUAAAUUCUUUUGAAAAUAACUCUUUCAAUAAAACUUUUAAAAAGAUGUAAAACUAUUACCAUUUUUCUGAUACUUUUCAGCCUGGAUGCAUCGUAAGACGAUUUUUCUCUAGGACGUUUGGUCAACGACAACCACCAAAAUCCGAAUUGCAUUAUGAAAAAGAUCAUAGUUGACAACAAAACACAUUUGUGCCUAUUUUCUCUGAAGAAAAUAGAAAUAGGAGAUCAAAUUGAUUACAACUAUGGUGAUUCAAAAUGGCCUUGGCGCAGUAAGGUGAGUUGAUUAGAUUAAGUAUAGAGAUUUCUUUUUUUUCUUUUUUUUUUGCCAAAGCAAAUUUUGUAUUUCUCCAAUAUUAACCAUGUGUCCAAUAUUACUCUUGACUGUCUAUGGAAAUGCAUUUAAUCUUUGGUCUUUGAUGUGUGUUAAAAUGAGUUCUUCUUUAUCUGCAAUCCAGUUGAAAAAAACCCAAGCUCCACCUGCAGCUGUAGAGAAUGAGACCAGCCCUGUUCUUCAGAUGCUAAAUGAUGGUCCAAACCCAGAUCAGACCUGCUCACAGGUUUUUUAUAUGUAAUGUUGCAAAAAUAGGUAUUAACAGAUUUGUGUUUGUUUUUAAAGAUUCAGAUGAAUCUCAUGGAAUCAGAUGACUCAAACUUAGGUAGCGAAGAGGAGUAUAUUCCAAAUCCCAGGGAUGAAAGCACAGAAAGUGAUAGCAGUAUGGAAUUAA